This is a non-coding RNA of Ornithorhynchus anatinus (platypus), 149 nucleotides long. Lineage: Eukaryota; Metazoa; Chordata; Mammalia; Monotremata; Ornithorhynchidae. The record is from RefSeq and is marked provisional.
GACGGUACCUGGGAGGGGGGCGCGGAGGGAUCUGUGGGAGAGGGUGCGGCCGCAAGGACUGGUGUCCCGGGACCGGGGCGCUUCAUUCGAGUGUUGGCAGGCCGUGGUCGUGCAGGGCCGCUGCGGCUCAGCUCAGACUUGGUGCAACC